CCUACGUGAGGCAGCAGUGGGGAAUAUUGGGCAAUGGGCGCAAGCCUGACCCAGCAACGCCGCGUGAAGGAAGAAGGCUUUCGGGUUGUAAACUUCUAUGAAGAGGGAAGAGCAGAAGACGGUACCUCUUGAAUAAGCCACGGCUAACUAAGUGCCAGCAGCCGCGGGAAUACGUAGGUGGCAAGCGUUGUCCGGAUGUACUGGGUGGAAAGGGCGUGCAGCCGGGAAGACAAGUCAGCUGUGAAAUCCCGCGGCUCAACCGCGGAACUGCAUUUGAAACUGUUGUUCUUGAGUACCGGAGAGGUCAGCGGAAUUCCUUGUGUAGCGGUGAAAUGCGUAGAUAUAAGGAAGAACACCAGUGGCGAAGGCGGAUGACUGGACGGCAACUGACGGUGAGGCGCGAAAGCGUGGGGAGCAAACAGGAUUAGAUACCCCAGUAGUC
Molecule: ribosomal RNA, 442 nt
Filed under: uncultured bacterium
Lineage: Bacteria
Description: partial 16S ribosomal RNA
Rfam family: Bacterial small subunit ribosomal RNA
Source: RNAcentral